AGAACGAACGCUGGCGGCGUGCCUAACACAUGCAAGUCGAGCGAGAGAGUAGCAAUACUUAAAAGCGGCGAACGGGUGAGUAACACGUAGAUAAUCUACCUUCUAAUGGGGGAUAACUACUCGAAAGGGUAGCUAAUACCGCAUGUGAAGACAGGUCGCUGGAUCUGUCUUGAAAGGGGGCUCUCGCAAGAGGCUUUCGUUAGAAGAUGAGUCUGCGUCCCAUUAGCUAGUUGGUAGGGUAAUGGCCUACCAAGGCUACGAUGGGUAGCUGGUCUGAGAGGACGACCAGCCACACUGGAACUGACACACGGUCCAGACUCCUACGGGAGGCAGCAGUGGGGAAUAUUGCGCAAUGGGGGAAACCCUGACGCAGCGACGCCGCGUGGGUGAUGAAGGCCUUCGGGUUGUAAAGCUCUGUCGGCUGGGAAAAAGGUGUUUGUGCUAAUACCACGAACGCUUGAUGGUACCAGCAAAGGAAGCACCGGCUAACUCUGUGCCAGCGGCCGCGGUAAUACAGAGGGUGCAAGCGUUGUUCGGAAUUACUGGGCGUAAAGGGCGUGUAGGCGGCUUAGCAAGUCAGAUGUGAAAUCCCGGGGCUUAACUUCGGAAGUGCAUUUGAAACUGCUAGGCUAGAGUGAAGUAGAGGUUGGUGGAAUUCCCAGUGUAGAGGUGAAAUUCGUAGAUAUUGGGAGGAACACCGGUGGCGAAGGCGGCCAACUGGGCUUUAACUGACGCUGAGGCGCGAAAGCGUGGGGAGCAAACAGGAUUAGAUACCCUGGUAGUCCACGCUGUAAACAAUGGAUACUCGAUGUGGCUGGUAUUGACCCCGGUCGUGUCUAAGUUAACACGAUAAGUAUCC
This 859-nucleotide ribosomal RNA is filed under the name uncultured bacterium. RNAcentral's name for it is "bacterial SSU rRNA". It matches the Rfam family "Bacterial small subunit ribosomal RNA", at positions 26 to 869 of the family's 1533-position model. The record is from RNAcentral.